This 70-nucleotide transfer RNA is filed under the name Rhinolophus ferrumequinum tragatus. Its description in RNAcentral is "tRNA-Trp". It matches the Rfam family "tRNA". From Rfam's summary of the family: Transfer RNA (tRNA) molecules are approximately 80 nucleotides in length. Lineage: Eukaryota; Metazoa; Chordata; Mammalia; Chiroptera; Rhinolophidae. The record is from RNAcentral.
AGGAAUUUAGGUUAAACACAGACCGAGAGCCUUCAAAGCCCUAAGCAAAUGAAUAUACGUUUAAUUCCUG